This 399-nucleotide long non-coding RNA is filed under the name Monodelphis domestica (gray short-tailed opossum). RNAcentral's name for it is "lncRNA (ENSMODG00000033445.2)". The record is from RNAcentral. Lineage: Eukaryota; Metazoa; Chordata; Mammalia; Didelphimorphia; Didelphidae.
AAUGAAUUUGGAGUCACCAAACACAGAACCUAGCUCAGAGGGAGUAAUGUGAUAGCAAUGAAGAAGACAGAAUGAAAGUUAUUAAAGGGAAGACUUAAAAAGUCUUGAGACAGGAAGUCUGGAAGAAUGGCAGCCCUACUGAAAGAAAUAGAUCUCGAUGAAGAAGUUCAGGACCAAUGUGAUAAAACAAUGACACGCCCUGGAAGUAGCUCUGCAAAUAUUUCUACAAAUUCCCAAGAAUGGUUCCGAGUAGGAUUGAGCCAUUCUGAAGUUGACCAAGAUAACGCCAAUGCUGUUUCCUGUUAGUCAUUUUAUGAGUAGAACAUCCGAACUCCUACAUUCCAGUAUUCUAAGCUGAAGACAAAUAAAUCUUGUUCCUCUCUGGUUUUAAGGGGUGAU